Molecule: ribosomal RNA, 483 nt
Filed under: uncultured bacterium
Lineage: Bacteria
Description: bacterial SSU rRNA
Rfam family: Bacterial small subunit ribosomal RNA
Source: RNAcentral
GAUGAACGCUAGCGACAGGCCUAACACAUGCAAGUCGAGGGGCAGCACGGAAAUAGCAAUAUGACUGGUGGCGACCGGCGCACGGGUGAGUAACACGUAUGCAACCUACCUGUAAGCGGGGAAUAACCCGGAGAAAUUCGGACUAAUACCGCAUAAUACUGCGAUACUGCAUGGUAUUGCAUUUAAACAUUUAUGGCUUACAGAUGGGCAUGCGUAUGAUUAGAUAGUUGGUGAGGUAACGGCUCACCAAGUCAACGAUCAUUAGGGGUUCUGAGAGGAAGGUCCCCCACACUGGUACUGAGACACGGACCAGACUCCUACGGGAGGCAGCAGUGAGGAAUAUUGGUCAAUGGGCGAGAGCCUGAACCAGCCAAGUCGCGUGAAGGAGAAGGUUCUAUGGAUUGUAAACUUCUUUUGUAAGGGAAUAAAAAAGUGGUACGUGUACCAUAUUGUAAUGUACUUUACGAAUAAGGAUCGGCUAAC